This 112-nucleotide ribosomal RNA is filed under the name Neorickettsia helminthoeca. RNAcentral's name for it is "partial 16S ribosomal RNA". It matches the Rfam family "Bacterial small subunit ribosomal RNA", at positions 292 to 403 of the family's 1533-position model. Lineage: Bacteria; Pseudomonadati; Pseudomonadota; Alphaproteobacteria; Rickettsiales; Anaplasmataceae. The record is from RNAcentral.
CUGAGAGGAUGAUCAGCCACACUGGAACUGAGACACGGUCCAGACUCCUACGGGAGGCAGCAGUGAGGAAUAUUGGACAAUGGGCGAAAGCCUGAUCCAGCCAUGCCGCAUG